AGGACGAACGCUGGCGGCGUGCCUAAAACAUGCAAGUCGAACGGAGGCUUCGGCCUCAGUGGCGAACGGCGGAGUAAUACAUAAGCAACGUGCCCCAAAGACUGGGAUAGCCAGCCGAAAGGCUGAGUAAUACCGGAUGUGGCCCUCUUUUGGCAUCUUAAGAGGAUUAAAUGGUUUUUCGCUUUGGGAGCGGCUUAUGGCCUAUCAGGUAGUUGGUGAGGUAACGGCUCACCAAGCCGACGACGGGUAGCGGGUCUGAGAGGACGAUCCGCUCGAGUGGGACUGAGACACGGCCCACACACCUACGGGUGGCAGCAGUUGGGAAUCUUGCACAAUGGGGGGAACCCUGAUGCAGCGACGCCGCGUGGAGGAUGAAGGAUCUAGGUCUGUAAACUCCUUUGUGGAAAGCUUAGGACGGUACCAACGAAUAAGCACCGGCUAACUACGCGCCAGCAGCCGC
RNAcentral lists this ribosomal RNA (460 nucleotides) under uncultured bacterium. Its description in RNAcentral is "SSU rRNA". It matches the Rfam family "Bacterial small subunit ribosomal RNA", at positions 26 to 518 of the family's 1533-position model. The record is from RNAcentral.